GCGGCCCCUGCAGUCAGCCCGGCGGUGUCGCGGGGAGGCGGGAGCGGGAGGCGGCGCUGCGUCACCCAGUACGCAGAGAGGGCGGCGGGGACCCGGGGCGGGGUGUGGGGACCCGGGAGGAGACUACCAAGAUGAGACAGGAGACGCUGAACUUGGGGACUCAGAAGAAGCAGAAGAUCGAGGGAGCCUAGGUCCUGGUCUCCUGGCGGCUGGGAAGAGUCCUGCAAGCUGGCCCCAGCAGGCAAGGGAAGGCUGGGAGAAGAACAGAGAGCCACCUUCCAAGGCCUUGAAGCUCAAUCUGUAGAUGGAUGUGGAUCUACACCCACCAGAGGGAUAGGGAUGGAGUUUUCAUGUCAGUCACCUGACUGUUCCCUCCCUAACGGGCCUAAGGAACCUUAGUUGCUAUUCCUGAUGGGAUGUAUCCCUGGACUCCCCCUCUCCCAGCUAAAGGAUCCCAAGGCACAGUAGGGCAGUAUUCAGCACUGCCUUGAAAGCAUGUUCACCCAUCUCCGUGAAAAUUCCAUAGGCAUAUGGGCUUGUCCCUUACUGUCUCCAGUAUCUAAAAUGGUCACUGCACACAGUGUUACUAAUCAAA
Long non-coding RNA from Mesocricetus auratus (golden hamster), 595 nucleotides. RefSeq lists it as uncharacterized. The transcript has 2 exons. The record is from RefSeq and is a predicted model, not a curated record. NCBI's taxonomy places the organism in Eukaryota, Metazoa, Chordata, Mammalia, Rodentia, Cricetidae.